Molecule: ribosomal RNA, 958 nt
Filed under: Triticum aestivum (bread wheat)
Lineage: Eukaryota; Viridiplantae; Streptophyta; Magnoliopsida; Poales; Poaceae
Description: partial small subunit ribosomal RNA
Source: RNAcentral
AUUGGCAGAAGAAGCUGCGGCGAGAAUGGGGCCAACCCAAUGGUGGUUUCAGUUUGGAGGGGAUGUUCCUGCAUUGCAGAAAUGUGCAAUGAGAAUUUGCUCACAAUGUGUCUCCUCUAGUGGGUGUGAGAGAAAUUGGAGCGCUUUUGCUUUGGUGCACACAAAGCAAAGAAGUCGUCUUCUAUAUGACAAGCUCCACAAGCUAGUUUCUGUACGCUACAACUUAAAGAUACGUGCUGAAGAAGAUCAAGAGAAAGAGAGAGAUAUAGAUAAAGAAAUUGAUCCAAGUGCAUUGCUAAUGGAUACCACAAUGUUUGAUGAAACAAACCCAAUAAUGGAGUGGCUGAAUGAGGAUGUAGAGGAUCCGAUUGUGGAUGGAGCUGAUGCAGCUAGUGCUGUUUUUGAGCAAAUAAGGCGCCUCAACUCAAGCAGGAAGGCGUCUUAUGUUGGUUCAAAGGGUAAUAACAAGAAAAGAAAGAGGAAUGAUGAUGAUGAGAAUGAGUUUCUUGAAACUGAGAGUGAGGAUGAUGAAGAAGAGAAUGAAUAUGUUGAUAAUGACAUCGAGGAUGAUGAUGGGGUGAGUGAGGAUGAUGAGGAUGGUGAACAAGAUCAGCUAGAGACACAAAUGCAACUUGAAGAAGAGACACAAGUACAAGUUCAAAAGGAGGCACCAACAAGCACUGGCCAUUUGGAGACUAGAUCUGGACGACUUAUUAGGAAGAAGACCAAGAACGUCAACAGCCUCUACUCGUAAAUUUGAAAUGGCACGUGAGCAAAGGAUAUCAAGAAGCUUUUGGAUGUUGGGAAGCUUGGAGCUGAUGCUUCAAAUAAGCUGAUGGUUGUCUUUUGGAGAUGUUUCUAUGUUUAAUGCUUUAAAGUCUUUUGGCUGUACUGGACUAUUUAAACUUUGAACUAUGCUGUGAUGGUUGAACUGAUGCUGGACGGUUAAGGGUUUAUG